This 662-nucleotide ribosomal RNA is filed under the name uncultured crenarchaeote. RNAcentral's name for it is "bacterial SSU rRNA". It matches the Rfam family "Archaeal small subunit ribosomal RNA", at positions 750 to 1412 of the family's 1478-position model. The record is from RNAcentral. Lineage: Archaea; Thermoproteati; Thermoproteota.
GCUUUAAACUAUGCAAACUCAGUGAUGCAUUGGCUUGUGGCCAGUGCAGUGCCGCAGGGAACCCGUUAAGUUUGCCGCCUGGGAAGUACGUACGCAAGUAUGAAACUUAAAGGAAUUGGCGGGGGAGCACCACAAGGGGUGAAGCCUGCGGUUCAAUUGGAGUCAACGCCAGAAAUCUUACCUGGGGAGACAGCAGAAUGAAGGUCAAGCCGAAGACUUUACCAGACAAGCUGAGAGGUGGUGCAUGGCCGUCGUCAGCUCGUGCCGUGAGAUGUCCUGUUAAGUCAGGUAACGAGCGAGAUCCCUGCCCCUAGUUGCUACCAUUACUUCCGGAGUAGUGGGGCGAAUUAGCGGGACCGCCGCAGUUAAUGCGGAGGAAGGAAGGGGCCACGGCAGGUCAGUAUGCCCCGGAACCCUAGGGCCACACGCGGGCUGCAAUGGUAGCUACAAUGCGUUCCGAAUCCGAAAGGAGGAGGUAAUCCUCAAAUGCUACCUCAGUUAUGACUGAGGGCUGUAACUCGCCCUCACGAAUAUGGAAUCCCUAGUAACUGCGUGUCAUUACCGCGCGGUGAAUACGUCCCUGCUCCUUGCACACACCGCCCGUCGUUUCAUUGAAGUUUGCUUUUAGCGAGGUGACGUCAUUUUGGCGUUAUCGAACUUGA